UACUAGCGGUCCAAGUUGCAGCCACUAUUAUUGGGUCUAAAACAUCCGUAGCUUGCUUGACAAGUCUAUUGUGAAAUCCUGUAUCUCAAAUAUAGGACUUGCAAGAGAUACUGUUAGGCUAGAGACCGGGAGGCGUAAGGAGUACGUUUGAAGUAGCGGUAAAAUGUGUUGAUCUCAGACGGACUAACAAGAGCGAAGGCACCUUACGAGAACGGUUCUGACAGUGAGGGAUGAAGGCCAGGGUCGCGAA
Molecule: ribosomal RNA, 250 nt
Filed under: uncultured Candidatus Pacearchaeota archaeon
Lineage: Archaea; Nanobdellati
Description: partial 16S ribosomal RNA
Rfam family: Archaeal small subunit ribosomal RNA
Source: RNAcentral